This 752-nucleotide ribosomal RNA is filed under the name uncultured bacterium. RNAcentral's name for it is "bacterial SSU rRNA". It matches the Rfam family "Bacterial small subunit ribosomal RNA", at positions 94 to 863 of the family's 1533-position model. The record is from RNAcentral.
AGUGGCGGACGGGUGAGUAACGCGUGGGUAACCUGCCUCAUACAGGGGGAUAACAGUUGGAAACGGCUGCUAAAACCGCAUAAGCAUACACUGUCGCAUGACAGAGUGUGAAAAUAUUUAUAGGUAUGAGAUGGGCCCGCGUCUGAUUAGCUAGUUGGUAAGGUAACGGCUUACCAAGGCGACGAUCAGUAGCCGGCUUGAGAGAGUGACCGGCCACAUUGGGACUGAGACACGGCCCAAACUCCUACGGGAGGCAGCAGUGGGGAAUAUUGCACAAUGGGGGAAACCCUGAUGCAGCGACGCCGCGUGAGUGAAGAAGUAUUUCGGUAUGUAAAGCUCUAUCAGCAGGGAAGAAAUUGACGGUACCUGACUAAGAAGCCCCGGCUAACUACGUGCCAGCAGCCGCGGUAAUACGUAGGGGGCAAGCGUUAUCCGGAUUUACUGGGUGUAAAGGGAGCGUAGGUGGUUCGGUAAGUCAGAUGUGAAAGCCCGGGGCUCAACCCCGGGAUUGCAUUUGAAACUAUCGGACUAGAGUGCAGGAGAGGUAAGUGGAAUUCCUAGUGUAGCGGUGAAAUGCGUAGAUAUUAGGAGGAACACCAGUGGCGAAGGCGGCUUACUGGACUGUAACUGACACUGAGGCUCGAAAGCGUGGGGAGCAAACAGGAUUAGAUACCCUGGUAGUCCACGCGGUAAACGCUGUUUACUAGGUGUCGGGGGUCAAAAGACCUCCGGUGCCGCAGCUAACGCAAUAA